Molecule: long non-coding RNA, 2786 nt
Organism: Apis cerana (Asiatic honeybee)
Lineage: Eukaryota; Metazoa; Arthropoda; Insecta; Hymenoptera; Apidae
Source: RefSeq, a predicted model, not a curated record
UCUUAGCUUCUGUAUAUAUAUAUGUUCUUUUUCUAACCUCAAAAUCUUAAAUAUUACGAUAAGUGGGAAAAAGUUGAUUUAAUCUAUUGAAAAUAGAAUUAGAAUAAAAAAAAGAAAAAGAAGCAAGAUCCACAGUUCGAUAAUCAAAAUUGAAUCAAAUCUCUUUUCAUUUUUAAUUUCCGUUUCUCCACUAUUUCGUAAUUUCGAUUUCGUGUAUACGUAUCACCGUUUACCGUUUUAAAUCUUAGGGUUUAGAGGAAAAAAUAAAAAUGGCUGGUGACCUGGAUAAUUUAAUUGAUUAAAUUCAAUCAAUCGACAAACGAAACUUUGAAUUCAAAUUCUAAUCCGAGUAUAUUAUACUCGACGUCUCUAUCGAAUAAAUUUACCGUAUAUUUAGAUUCGACUGACUAGCGUGAUAAACAUAAAAAUUAAUGAUAAAGUGUGAACAGUGAAAAUUAUUUGUUAAAUAUUUUUUUUCUCUUUUUCCCCUCCCUCCCCCCUUUAUUUUUAAAUGAAAAAGAAUUCUUUGUUUCAUUCGUGAACGCGUCACUGGCGCAUUGCGGUAAGUACGCCCUCUAUUUCGUAACCGUGGAAACGUUUGUCUGUAUAGCAUGCAAGUUCUGUUAUAGAUGCGUAUCAUACAGCAACUUGGUCCUCUAUUAUACCCGGCGGGAAGAGCAAGUAUAACAAAACACAGUGUAACAAACAAAAAAUAUAUAGACUAUAUAUAGUUACGACUAAUUAUUUUCGUUGACGAACUUUCACAUAUUUCUGUAUCGAUCGAUGGUUAAAAAAAAAAAAAAAAAGAAAGAAAGAAAAGAAAAGAAAAAAGCAAAAUAUAAAGCAACAGUUUACAGUUUACAGAUUAUAUUGUUCGUGUUUUAUAUUAUUUUCAAAAAAUUAUAACCAGUAGAAUACCGAUAAGUUAUUAAAAAAAAAAAAUCGGAUUUUAUCACGUGUGAGGUUAUAUUUACGAACUUCGAUAGCAAUUGAAUGUGAUCUCGAAUAACUUGUGACGAAUUAAUUCCAAUUUGAAAUAAAGUUCGUUAUAUAAUAGCAAUUAUAACUAUUGUUAGUUCAAAAUUUCUUUUUUUAAUUAACAAUUGUUGAACUAUUAUAUUUAUCAUAAUUCUAUUGAAAUAAAAUGCAUGCCAAUAUAUAUUUAGAUAUUACAUUUAACCGUGAAAACUUUGUCGAACGAUUGAAGAUGCAAUCAUCGUGUAAGAUGAGGAAAUACGAUAUCGAUAAAGGUCAGUUUACAGAGUAUUACUGCUAAUACAGCAACAGGUAUGGUUUGCUCAAUAACAAAGUUGCUUGUUUCCCGAGAUAUAAAUUAAAUUUCGUUUAAUCUAAUCGAAUACAAAAGACAAAAAUUUGAAUAGACAAUCAAUCGUAAUCCCCUUGAACAAGGUUACGUUUGAAUAAUUUUAUCUACCAAAUAUAAUGGGCAAGGUGAUAGAUAAUGUUUGCAAAGCAAACGUAAUACCACCGAUAAGAUAAAUAACUUUCAAGCUAGUGUAUAUAUCAAUGUAAAUGCAACAAAAUCAUAGUUCAUCGGAGAUGUCUAUAAGUUAUAAUUCGUCCUGAUUCUUCGUGUAACGUGUCGUAGUAUCGUUCUUUCGAGCAAACGUUCGUGGAACGAACAGAGAAGCGUACAAAUUCGAGUAUCGACGUGGGAUGAGACAUCGAACGAAUGUACACCUUGUCGCAAGCGUUUGCAAUCGUAUCACGUAUGACGAAACACUUACAUGUGUGGGUAACAUGGAAGACAAAUUUGAAAUGCGACUUUCGUGCAAACGAAUGAAAGUACUAAAAAUAUUAAAAUUUCGAAAUUGUUAUAUUUAAUGGAUUAAAUUCGUAAUCAAAAAUUGCAAAAAUUUCUUAAUCAACGGAAAUUCGAAUAACUCGACAAGGAAGACUUCACAAAAAUUUUAUUGAUAAAAUUAUUUCACGUCUUUUCGUCAUCUAUCGAAAAUAUAAUUAAAUUAUUUCUUUAAUUGAAAAAAAAACUUUAAAAUACUCUCUCGUCGAAAUUUCUCAAAUGGAUUGGAAUAUGUCGAAUAUCGUCGAUGUUUAAAAGUAAAUAAAAUUCCUUGAUACUUAACACGUUGAACACUUAAACAAAAGUUACGUCGAUAUCAUCUCGUUAUCGCGGAAGCUUGGCGAGGAAAUAUACCGAUUACAUACUUUUAUCGGCAGUGAGAGAAAAAUAUUGGCUUUCGCAGAUACGUCCAUUACGUGCAAGCAAGAACAAUAACAGUAAUACGAUGAAAACGCCACUAACCGUGUAAACUGGAGGAACGCACGAAAGAAGUGAAAGGUUCUUAUUUCUCGAAAGCGUUCAAGGAAUACUACCGUUCUUUUGUAAUUAUCGACAGCGUACUCGUGUUUUCUACUAGAGAAAAAGUAGAAAAAAAUUUAUUUCUAUAAUAUUUCUAGAUAAUUUUUCGAUAAAAUAAGAUAAAAAGAGUUUUCGAAUUUAAUAUUUUAACGAGUUAAAAAUAAUAGUAGAACGCCGGCACUUAAACGAUUCUUACUGUUCGUCAACAAUAAUUUAUAAAUUUUACGAAUUUAAGAAAAAAUCUAACUUUUUUUUUGGAUAAAAUUUUUAAAUUUAAAAAAGAAUAAAAUUCACCAAAAUUAUAUAAAUAUUGCCAUUUAAGUAUUAAUAUAUCGACAGCAGUAUAUACAGUUAUUAAAAAUAAUUAUACUUUGUCUCCAUUUUAGUUGAUCUUCAAUCGUAAUCUUGAAUCGUUUAUGAAUUUAAUAAAUAAAUCUUGACUCAA